RNAcentral lists this ribosomal RNA (472 nucleotides) under uncultured bacterium. Its description in RNAcentral is "bacterial SSU rRNA". It matches the Rfam family "Bacterial small subunit ribosomal RNA", at positions 328 to 793 of the family's 1533-position model. The record is from RNAcentral.
CGCUUUCACUCCUACGGGAGGCAGCAGUGGGGAAUAUUGCACAAUGGGCGCAAGCCUGAUGCAGCCAUGCCGCGUGUGUGAAGAAGGCCUUCGGGUUGUAAAGCACUUUCAGUCGUGAGGAAGGUAGUGUAGUUAAUAGCUGCAUUAUUUGACGUUAGCGACAGAAGAAGCACCGGCUAACUCCGUGCCAGCAGCCGCGGUAAUACGGAGGGUGCGAGCGUUAAUCGGAAUUACUGGGCGUAAAGCGCAUGCAGGUGGUUUGUUAAGUCAGAUGUGAAAGCCCGGGGCUCAACCUCGGAAUAGCAUUUGAAACUGGCAGACUAGAGUACUGUAGAGGGGGUAGAAUUUCAGGUGUAGCGGUGAAAUGCGUAGAGAUCUGAAGGAAUACCGGUGGCGAAGGCGGCCCCCUGGACAGAUACUGACACUCAGAUGCGAAAGCGUGGGGAGCAAACAGGAUUAGAUACCCUGGUAG